RNAcentral lists this ribosomal RNA (237 nucleotides) under uncultured bacterium. RNAcentral's name for it is "partial 16S ribosomal RNA". It matches the Rfam family "Bacterial small subunit ribosomal RNA", at positions 96 to 334 of the family's 1533-position model. The record is from RNAcentral.
CGGCGUACGGGUGCGUAACACGUGUGCAACCCGCCUUUAUCUGGGGGAUAGCCUUUCGAAAGGAAGAUUAAUACUCCAUAAUAUAUUGAACGGCAUCGUUUAAUAUUGAAAGCUCCGGCGGAUAGAGAUGGGCACGCGCAAGAUUAGCUAGUUGGUGAGGUAACGGCUCACCAAGGCGAUGAUCUUUAGGGGGCCUGAGAGGGUGAUCCCCCACACUGGUACUGAGACACGGACCAG